CCCUUAGAGUUUGAUCCUGGCUCAGAUUGAACGCUGGCGGCAGGCCUAACACAUGCAAGUCGAGCGGUAACAGAUUGAUAGCUUGCUAUCGAUGCUGACGAGCGGCGGACGGGUGAGUAAUGCCUGGGAAUAUGCCCUGAUGUGGGGGAUAACUAUUGGAAACGAUAGCUAAUACCGCAUAAUCUCUUUGGAGCAAAGAGGGGGACCUUCGGGCCUCUCGCGUCAGGAUUAGCCCAGGUGGGAUUAGCUUGUUGGUGGGGUAAUGGCUCACCAAGGCAACGAUCCCUAGCUGGUCUGAGAGGAUGAUCAGCCACACUGGAACUGAGACACGGUCCAGACUCCUACGGGAGGCAGCAGUGGGGAAUAUUGCACAAUGGGGGAAACCCUGAUGCAGCCAUGCCGCGUGUAUGAAGAAGGCCUUCGGGUUGUAAAGUACUUUCAGUUGUGAGGAAGGCAGUAAAGUUAAUAGCUUUGCUGUUUGACGUUAGCAACAGAAGAAGCACCGGCUAACUCCGUGCCAGCAGCCGCGGUAAUACGGAGGGUGCGAGCGUUAAUCGGAAUUACUGGGCGUAAAGCGCAUGCAGGUGGUUUGUUAAGCAAGAUGUGAAAGCCCGGGGCUCAACCUCGGAACAGCAUUUUGAACUGGCAGACUAGAGUACUGUAGAGGGGGGUAGAAUUUCACGUGUAGCGGUGAAAUGCGUAGAGAUCUGAAGGAAUACCGGUGGCGAAGGCGGCCCCCUGGGACAGAUACUGACACUCAGAUGCGAAAGCGUGGGGAGCAAAACAGGAUUAGAUACCCCUGGGUAGUCCCACGCCGUAAACGAUGUCUAC
Molecule: ribosomal RNA, 831 nt
Filed under: uncultured Pseudoalteromonas sp.
Lineage: Bacteria; Pseudomonadati; Pseudomonadota; Gammaproteobacteria; Alteromonadales; Pseudoalteromonadaceae
Description: bacterial SSU rRNA
Rfam family: Bacterial small subunit ribosomal RNA
Source: RNAcentral